This 442-nucleotide ribosomal RNA is filed under the name uncultured bacterium. RNAcentral describes it as "partial 16S ribosomal RNA". It matches the Rfam family "Bacterial small subunit ribosomal RNA", at positions 338 to 795 of the family's 1533-position model. The record is from RNAcentral.
CCUACGGGUGGCAGCAGUAGGGAAUUUUUCACAAUGGGCGAAAGCCUGAUGGAGCAACGCCGCGUGCAGGAUGAAGGCCUUCGGGUUGUAAACUGUUUUUAUAAGCGAGAAAUAUGAUGGUAACUUAUGAAUAAGGAUCGGCUAACUACGUGCCAGCAGCCGCGGUCAUACGUAGGAUCCGAGCAUUAUCCGGAGUGACUGGGUGUAAAGAGUUGCGUAGGUGGCAUAAUAAGUAGCUAGUGAAAUCUGGUGGCUCAACCAUUCAGACUAUUAGCUAAACUGUUAAGCUCGAGACCGUUAGGGGUAACUGGAAUUUCUAGUGUAGGAGUGAAAUCCGUAGAUAUUAGAAGAAACACCAAUAGCGUAGGCAGGUUGCUGGGACGGUUCUGACACUAAGGCACGAAAGCGUAGGGAGCAAACGGGAUUAGAUACCCUAGUAGUC